Molecule: long non-coding RNA, 4487 nt
Filed under: Marmota monax (woodchuck)
Lineage: Eukaryota; Metazoa; Chordata; Mammalia; Rodentia; Sciuridae
Rfam family: tRNA (bases 2066-2134)
Source: RNAcentral
CGGCGCCCAGGCCGUCCUGGCCAGCACGCGGCGGCGCCCCCUCCCCUCGCGCCGCGGGCCUCCCCGCGCCGUGCACGUCCCCGUCCCGCGCCUCCGCCUCCACCCUCACUCGCUUCUUCCCGCCCUCCCCGUAGCGCUGGCCGAGCCGGCUUCCCCUCCGUCUUUCAUGAAUAUUGAGCGGCCCCUGUUGUAUUUCCCGAGCUCCAUUGCGGAAGCCAAGGCUCGCCAUAUUGUGCGGCGGCGCCGGCGGCCGCGGCGGCUGAUACCUGAGUCUCGCUCCGGCCGCGGCCAGCGGAGCCCCGGGCUGGGGUAGGAGCCGGUGAGUGGGGCGGGCGGCGAGGCGAAGGGCGCGGGAGCGGCGGGCUGGGACGCGCGUCCGCUCGGCCGGGUGCCGGCGCUUGACGGCAACACGUAUCUUUUUAACAAUCAAAAGUUAACACUAGAGCAAUGAGGUUUGCCAGUUCUUUUGGAAAUAGGGAAGGGUUAAAUUCCAGACUCUAGCACUAGCCAGGGAGGGGCAUGACCUGGGGCAUAUAUUGUAUUUUUCUGAUUUCCUUUUCCUUAACUGUAUAAAGAAAGGUAGCAUUAAUUGCUCCAAGUGUACACCAUAUCAGACACUGAAACUGUCUAAUUCUUUACAUAAUUUCAGGUAGGAGUAACAAAGAUUUUAUCUAGAGAUCAGAGAAAAGAUCUCUAGAUAAAUUGCAGUGACUAUAGCAGUCUGUCACCAACUUUUCUUUCAGUAGAAACACUUCAUUCAGAGGUAUUUAUUAAAUUUCAUGUCCUCAGUAUAGUAACUAAACUGCUACAGUAAUCUACAAAGUUCUCAUUGUCUCUACCUCCUCCUACCACAUGUCAUGUCCCAAGCCAGGUACAGCUAUAUUUCUAAACUCCUUACCAUCAGCUUGAAAAUCUAUGUAGAGAGCAAUAUUUUUUAAAGUGUUGUUAGGGUAGAGAGAGAAGAGAGACUAAUGUUUUCUGUUGCUAUAAUUGAGUACCACAGAGUGGGAAAUUUAUUAAGAAUAUAGAUUCUUUAGCUCACAGUUCUGGGGGCUGAGAAAUCCAAGUUCUGGAAGCAUGGUGCUAGCCUGAUAAGGGGCCUCUUGCUGCAUUUUAACAUGGCAGAGGGAAGCAGGGCACACAUGCCAGUAAUCCCAGUGACUCAGGAAGCUGAGACAGGAUUGUGGGUUCAAAGCCAGCCUCAGCAACUCUGCAAGGCCCUAAGCAGCUUAGUGAGAACUUGUCUCACCAAAAAACAAACAAACAAACAACAACAACAACAAAAAAAAAACCACAACUAUGGAUGUGGCUCAGUGGUUAAGCAUCCUGGGUUCAAUCCCUGGUACAAAAAAAAGUGGCAGAGGACAUCAUAUGGCCUGAUAGCUCAGAUAUCUUCAUCUUAUAAAAUCCUCAUCUAAUCUGAAUUACCUACCAAAGGUGCAUCCUCAAAUAACAUUGGCAUAUGAAUUUAGGGAUUAAGUUUCCAACACAGGAAAUUUUAGAGGACACAUUCAAACAGAGCAGAGAAGAAUGUCCUCUUUUAUUUUUAAAGCAGUGAACUAGAAAGUGACUACUGCAAAUAAAAGGGAGAGAUUGAUUACAUAAACAAAGCAAACCCUAACUAUAUGCUGCCUACAGGGAACCCACUUUACAUAUAACAUACAAAUAAAAGUACAAGGAUGGAAAAAGAUAUAUCAUGUUAGUGCCAAUCAAAAGAAAGCUAGCAUGGCUGUGUGUAUAUAUAGGACACAGCAGUUUUCAGAUCAAAAAUUUAUUACAAGGAUAUGGAACCCAGAUGCUGAACAGGAAAGGUAGUGGCAGGGCUAACAAUAGCACCUUCAGGGACAGCCAGCCAGACCUGCAGACCUAACGGAGCUCUUUCAUCUGUUCUCAAGGACAUGUUGGUGGACACAUUUUAGUCUGAAACUUGGGGAGUAAUAGUGAUGACUUAGACCUUGGACCUUCUCUGAGGACUACACCAUGGAAACAUGGAAGAUAUGGGGCUCCUAGUUGGUCUGAAUCAAUGCAGGGAGACCUUCCAUAAUAAAUAUGAGUGUUUGGGGCUGGGAUUGUGGCUCGGUUGUAGAGCACUCACCUAGCACGUGUGAGGCCCUGGGUUCGAUCCUCAGCACCACAUAAAAAAUUAAAAUAAAGAUACUGUGUCCAACUACAACUAAAAAAGAAAUUUAAAAUAAAGCAAUAUGAGUGUUUAAUGUGAAUGUCAAGGGAAAUAUCAGCAUAAUAAACUGCCUGCCUCCAGAUUUGGCUAUAGAUAUCUUUUUUUUUACCCAUAUGUUUUUCAUUUCUUGAUCAUUUAUCAUCUUUUAAGAUAUGCAUUUAUAAUAUGUGACAUGAAAUAAUUUAAUAAGGGGAUAGAUUAUCUCAUAACAGAAAAUCUGGAGGCAAAAAGGCCCCGGGGUUGGUUAUGUCAGUUCCCUGGAUUCUUCUCAUCUUUCUAGUCUGCCUGUGGCUCUUCAGGUUAGAUAAAUAAUAAAAUUAUAGCAACAGCUCCAGGCAUCUUAUCCUAAUAUGAACCAAUGUUAAGAAAUUGAAUUGACCUAUUUCUUCCCAAGUAGGUCUCAUUUCUAGAGCUAAGAAACCUUUCCUAAAACCAUCUAGAAGACUUCCUCUCACACCUUAUUGUCCCAAUCUAGGUCACAUACCUGCCUCUAAAUUCAUCACUGGCAAGGGGAGUCAGACCUGUAUGAUUAACUUCAAGCUGUCUGGAUUGACCCAAGUCACACUGCAGUAAGAAAAGGAAUAAAGAUAUUUAGAAAGGAGAUAAGAAAUAAGGAAAAAAAACUAUAAUUGUAUAUCUGAAAGCUCUAUGGUCAGAUUUACUCCCCAAACCUGUAUUUUUUCCUCCAGAAAAGAAAUUUCUGAGAAAUCUACAAAUCUUAGGGUUACUAUAAAUUCACUCAUCUGUGAAAACUGCCCCAUUCUGAUUAAAGCUGAAGGUCACUACACAAUGUAUUUUCAGAUUAGAUAAAACAAAGGUGGGUAUAUUUUAAGGCACAUCCCACAUGUUGUCUAAAUAAGAGACAAUAUCAAACUGAAGAUCCUGGAAGAAGCCAAGACUACCAUGAACAUCUUGCAAUCCAUGAUCAAAGUACUGAAUUCACCAGACUGAAGUCAUUUCUAUAUACCUUCCCAUGCCUACUCCUACAAAGUUUCCUGUAAAAGAAGAACCUGGGAUCCCCAAAGCACUUCUUGCUCUUGAGAUAGUCUGCACUCUGCUAUAAGAAUGUGUGUCUUUCCCUUUCCCUUUCAAAUAAAGCUCUUCCUCUUUACUAAAACCUGAUGUAUCCUUCAAUACUUUUAGGUGAUGUGUCAAGAACCUAGAAGGUCAGAAUAGGCAUCUCUGCCCCUGGAUAGACCUCUUUGUACCCCCUUAUGGUGACAACAUGAUGAGGGGGUGGUCAUUGAAAAGUGUUUACUUACUAUGAAAGAGAGUAAAAUCACUUUUAUGCAGGUUUUAAUAUUUACUUGUGAGGUGUUUCCCCUAAAAGCUCAUGAGAAAAACAAUGCAUGAAUUUUCAGAGGUGAAAUGAUUAGAUUAUGAUUGUGACCUAACCAGUUAAUUAGUUGAAUUAAUCAACUAAUAUGGAUUAACUGAAUAUUAACUGUAGGCAGGUAGGGUGUGACUAGAGGAGGUAGGUCACUGGGAAAUGCCUCUGUGGGGUUACAUUUAUCCUUGGAGUCCUUUCUUUCUGCUCCCUAGUUUAUAUGUCCUGAGAAGCUUUCCUCCAACAUGCCCUUAUGCCAUGAUGUCCUGCUUCAUGUUGGGCCCAAAGCUAUGGAUUCAGCUGACCAUGAACUGAACCUCUGAAACCAUGAGCCAAAAUAAACUUUCUCCUCUAUGUUCUUGUCAGGUCUUUGGUCUCAAUAAUGAAAAGCUAACUAAAAUAUAAGUUGGUACCAAGAAGUGCGGUCAUUGCUAUGACUAACCUGACCAUGUGUUUGAGAAGACUUUGGAACUGGUUUGCAGGUGGGGGAACUUAGAAACAUUUUGAGAUGCAAGCUAGAGAUGCUGAUUUUCCAUGCUCCUUAAAUUAUCUGUAAGCACCCAAUUAAUUUAUUGCAACUAUUCAAAAUAGAAAAACUUCAGAAACAUAUUGUGUGUGUGUUUUUCUGUACAACAGGAUGCAGAAUACAAAAAUAUUCUUUGUGAUUUAACAAAAUAGACAGUAAUGACCCCAUCCUGUUCUGGGUAAUAAAGAAACUCCCUCAGGAGUUAGUGAACUGUGUAGAGUUGUUUAUCAUUGUCUCAUAAAUGGCCCCAGAUGCGUAUUCCAGGCUCUUGCAUUUGCUAGGCAAUUUUUGUUUUUCUUCCCUUCCUAAGGGUUCUUGCCACCAGCAGGACAUGUGCCUGUAGCAGUCUGCCUCUGCUUCAUAGCUGAUGCUUUCAGCACACUGUGAGCUGGGACCAGGCAGCAAGGUUUACUAGAACUGUCAGAGUCAACAGUGGCAGAACAAGUUUCCCGUAG